CACACACACAUCAGUGUUCGCAGAGAGCGCGUAUGGGAACUGUACAAUGCCGAAGGAGAUCAAUGCACGGACAGGAUUCGUUCAACCUCUAGAAAGUCACAAUGUAACGGAAGGAACUUCCUCAUUUCUCUCUCGCUCUCACUCUCUUUCUCCCCGAGACUUCGGUUAGCUCUCUUCUCUUAUCUUCUGAUCGGUAUUAAUUCUUUUAAUCGAAGUCGCUUUUAAUAUUUGAUACUUAUGAGAGUAACAGUACACAAGAGUAUCUUGCUUAAACACUAAAAAAAAAAACACAAUAAUUUAUUACAAAAAUGUGUGUUCGUAUGGUUAGGUAUUUUUUAAAGUAUGUAUUUAUUUGUUUUGAUGCAGGUGGAGUAAAAUUAAUUAAAUAUCCACGUGGCUAAAUGCUUACCAUAUCAUGACCCUAAUCGGACAAAACCCAGCCAAAAUCAUCACAAAUCAAAUUGAAUGUGUCGGGUUUCUUUAUUCAUUCAUUCAUUCUUUUACAAUAAAAAAAUGUUCAACAGCAAAAAAUAUUACACAAAUUUUUAAAAUGUAAAUAAAUUGAAUAAAUAUUGUACGAAUUACGCUGUGCACGGUGCACGGUCGAGUUGGUUCUGAUUCUGAUUCUGUGAGGUGGCAGGCAGAAGGGGCAGCGCGAUUAUUUCCCUAAUCGAUGGAUGCGUUGGAUGUGCCUGCCAAAUGGGACAUAUACAUAUGUAUGGGGACGUCGUGCAUUUGUUCGAGCAAAGGUGAAGGUUACUCGCUGGUAACUCUGAAUCAAGUCUGGGCUGUACUUCAAAAAGAUGGCAUCGCAUGUUCAAAUGGUGAAUUGGGUCUGAACACUGCCGAUGGAUGUCAUUCUUUUAUAGUAUAUAAAUUAUGGUGCAGAUUAGAUGCAGUUAUGCGAAUGUGUGUGUGUGUUUGUGUGUGUGUGUGUGUGUGUGUGUGGGGUAUGGGUAUGCAUGCGUGUGAUUGGUGUUGAGAUACAUUCAUAGUACGAUAUACAUAUAUAUGUAAAUAUGUAUAAAUAAUGUAAGAACUGAAGCUGAAAAUCGAAAGG
Long non-coding RNA from Drosophila obscura, 1060 nucleotides. RefSeq lists it as uncharacterized. The record is from RefSeq and is a predicted model, not a curated record. NCBI's taxonomy places the organism in Eukaryota, Metazoa, Arthropoda, Insecta, Diptera, Drosophilidae. The transcript has 3 exons.